Molecule: transfer RNA, 65 nt
Filed under: Eulepethus nanhaiensis
Lineage: Eukaryota; Metazoa; Annelida; Polychaeta; Phyllodocida; Eulepethidae
Description: tRNA-Ala
Source: RNAcentral
GUUACUCUAGUUCAAUUAGAAUAUUCGAUUUGCAUUCGACUGGUAGAUUUAUAAUCUGAGCAACC